Molecule: ribosomal RNA, 444 nt
Filed under: uncultured bacterium
Lineage: Bacteria
Description: SSU rRNA
Rfam family: Bacterial small subunit ribosomal RNA
Source: RNAcentral
AGGAUGAACGCUGGCGGUCUGCUUAACACAUGCAAGUCGAACGGAGUAGCAAUACUUAGUGGCGGACGGGUGAGUAACGCGUGAGAAUCUACCUUCAGGACGGAGACAACAGUUGGAAACGACUGCUAACCCCCGAUGUACCGAAAGGGCAAAUAUUUAUAGCCUGAAGAAGAGCUCGCGUCCGAUUAGCUAGUUGGAGAGGUAAAAGCUCACCAAGGCGACGAUCGGUAGCUGGUCUGAGAGGACGAUCAGCCACACUGGGACUGAGACACGGCCCAGACUCCUACGGGAGGCAGCAGUGGGAAUUUUCCGCAAUGGGCGAAAGCCUGACGGAGCGACGCCGCGUGUGGGAAGAAGGCCCUAGGGUCGUAAACCACUGUCGAAGGGGAAGAUAUUGACGGUACCCUUGGAGGAAGCCCCGGCUAACUACGUGCCAGCAGCCGC